GGCUCAUUGGUCUAGUGGUAUGAUUCUGGCUUUGGGUGUAAGAGGCCCCGGGUUUAAAUCCCGGAUAAGCCC
Non-coding RNA from Daphnia pulex (common water flea), 72 nucleotides. NCBI's taxonomy places the organism in Eukaryota, Metazoa, Arthropoda, Branchiopoda, Diplostraca, Daphniidae. The record is from Rfam.